UUUAGAGGAAGUAAAAGUCGUAACAAGGUUUCCGUAGCUCAAGUACGGGACAGCUCGACCGCAAGGUCGAGGUGAUCCUUCCGCGUAACACUUGCCGAAGCCUUAGCAGCCUGAAAAGGUGCAGCCCCGACGACUAUAAUCACGAAGAGGGUUGCUUAAAUGCUAGUCCGCGCACAGCGGGCGACACUAUCAAAUUGCGGGAACACCCUAAAGACCUCAACACCAAGCGAUCGCGGGAAACCGCGGCGUGGCCGAGCUAAUAGCCCUGGGUAUGGUAACAGCUUGAGGUAUGACGCCCCCUCUAGGGGUUGAAAUGGGCAAUCCGCAGCCAAGUCCUAAAGCGCCCGAGU
This 350-nucleotide unclassified non-coding RNA is filed under the name uncultured fungus. RNAcentral describes it as "partial 18S ribosomal RNA". The record is from RNAcentral. Lineage: Eukaryota; Fungi.